This 300-nucleotide ribosomal RNA is filed under the name uncultured bacterium. RNAcentral describes it as "bacterial SSU rRNA". It matches the Rfam family "Bacterial small subunit ribosomal RNA", at positions 333 to 650 of the family's 1533-position model. The record is from RNAcentral.
GUAGCCCUACGGGGCGCAGCAGUGGGGAAUAUUGCACAAUGGGGGAAACCCUGAUGCAGCGACGCCGCGUGAAGGACGAAGUAUUUCGGUACGUAAACUUCUAUCAGCAGGGAGGAAAAUGACGGUACCUGACCAAGAAGCCCCGGCUAACUACGUGCCAGCAGCCGCGGUAGUACGUAGGGGGCAAGCGUUAUCCGGAUUUACUGGGUGUAAAGGGAGCGUAGACGGCGAAGAAAGUCUGAAGUGAAAGCCCGCGGCUCAACCGCGGAAUGGCUUUGGAAACUUUUUUGCUGGAGUACC